RNAcentral lists this long non-coding RNA (315 nucleotides) under Ananas comosus (pineapple). RNAcentral describes it as "long non-coding RNA (ACOM_LNC034050)". Lineage: Eukaryota; Viridiplantae; Streptophyta; Magnoliopsida; Poales; Bromeliaceae. The record is from RNAcentral.
GCUUGCUUGCCAUUUGUGCUCAUUCGCACAUGCUUGUGAGGGUCGCUCCCUACAAGCCGGCACUCUGGAGUUAGUCUAUGCGACUUAUGUUCGCUCGUGCGGUAUUGAGAAGCCUACGGGGUCGAGUGGGACAGACACAUUCCAAGAGUAGGGAUGUUGGGCUACCACAGGCACUUAGGCGGCACAAGCCGGACUACCUUUGGUAGGUCCUUAAUUGGAAAUGGAAAUCGACACAGUGUUGAGAAUGAAUAAUCACUACUAGAUAGGCUUAGUAGUUGGAUUACUUGACAUGCUCAUGACAUAGCAUUGGGAUAU